AGUUCAGAUUGCAGGCUGNAACCCGCCUGCAUGAAGUCGGAAUUGCUAGUAAUCGCGGAUCAGCAUGCCGCGGUGAAUACGUUCCCGGGCCUUGUACACACCGCCCGUCACACCAUGGGAGCCGGUAAUACCCGAAGUCAGUAGUCCAACCACGUGAGGACGCUGCCGAAGGUAGGAUUGGCGACUGGGGUGAAGUCGUAACAAGGUAAC
RNAcentral lists this ribosomal RNA (210 nucleotides) under uncultured bacterium. RNAcentral's name for it is "partial 16S ribosomal RNA". It matches the Rfam family "Bacterial small subunit ribosomal RNA", at positions 1290 to 1500 of the family's 1533-position model. The record is from RNAcentral.